UACGGGGAUGGCGAGCGUUACUCGGAUUUAUUGGGUGUAAAGGGCAGGUAGGUGUCUCUACAAGUCAGGAGUGAAAUCCUAUGGCUUAACCAUAGAACUGCUUUUGAAACUGUAGAGAUUGAGGACAGAAGAGGAAAGCGGAAUUCCCGGUGUAAGGGUGAAAUCUGUAGAGAUCGGGAGGAACACCAGUGGCGAAAGCGGCUUUCUGGUCUGUCCCUGACGCUAAACUGCGAAAGCUAGGGGAG
This 245-nucleotide ribosomal RNA is filed under the name uncultured bacterium. RNAcentral's name for it is "partial 16S ribosomal RNA". It matches the Rfam family "Bacterial small subunit ribosomal RNA", at positions 524 to 768 of the family's 1533-position model. The record is from RNAcentral.